RNAcentral lists this ribosomal RNA (377 nucleotides) under uncultured bacterium. Its description in RNAcentral is "bacterial SSU rRNA". It matches the Rfam family "Bacterial small subunit ribosomal RNA", at positions 30 to 410 of the family's 1533-position model. The record is from RNAcentral.
AUUGAACGCUGGCGGCAUGCUUUACACAUGCAAGUCGAACGGCAGCACGGGGGCAACCCUGGUGGCGAGUGGCGAACGGGUGAGUAAUGCAUCGGAACGUAUCCUUAAGUGGGGGAGUAACGCAUCGAAAGAUGCGCUAAUACCGCAUAAUCUCUAAGGAGAAAAGACAGGGAUCGCAAGACCUUGCGCUUUUGGAGCGGCCGAUGUCUGAUUAGCAGUUGGUGAGGUAAAGGCUUACCAAGGCUUCGAUCAGUAGCUGGUCUGAGAGGACGACCAGCCACACUGGGACUGAGACACGGCCCAGACUCCUACGGGAGGCAGCAGUGGGAAUUUUGACAAUGGGGAAACCCUGAUCCAGCCAUGCCGCGUGAGUGAAG